GUGCUCGCUUCGGCAGCACAUACACUAAAAUUGGAACAAUUCAGAGAAGAUUAGCGUGGCCCCUGCACAAGGAUGACACGAAUUUAAAGCACCAAUGAUAGUUUCAU
Oryctolagus cuniculus (rabbit) is the source of this 107-nucleotide small nuclear RNA. NCBI's taxonomy places the organism in Eukaryota, Metazoa, Chordata, Mammalia, Lagomorpha, Leporidae. The record is from Ensembl.